RNAcentral lists this ribosomal RNA (138 nucleotides) under uncultured bacterium. RNAcentral's name for it is "partial 16S ribosomal RNA". It matches the Rfam family "Bacterial small subunit ribosomal RNA", at positions 1367 to 1500 of the family's 1533-position model. The record is from RNAcentral.
UACGUUCCCGGGCCUUGUACACACCGCCCGUCACGCCAUGGAAGCCGGGAGUACCCGAAGUCCGCGGCCCAACCCGCUAAGGGAGGGAGCGGCCGAAGGUAAAUUCGGUGACUGGGGCGAAGUCGUAAACAAGGUACC